CUUGACCAUAAAAAUAUAAGAGGUCCCGCCUGCCCACUGACUAUAUGUUCAACGGCCGCGGUAUUUUAACCGUGCGAAGGUAGCGUAAUCACUUGUCUUUUAAAUGAAGACCUGUAUGAAUGGCAUCACGAGGGCUUAACUGUCUCCCCCCUCCAGUCAAUGAAAUUGACCUCCCCGUGCAGAGGCGGGGAUACCCCUAUAAGACGAGAAGACCCUGUGGAGCUUUAGACCUAAAAUAAAUUAUGUUCAACACUCUACAAAACCAGUAAAAACUUAAUAAUAUUUAUUCAAGUGUCUUUGGUUGGGGCGACCGAGGGGAAAAACACAACCCCCAUGUGGACCGGGGAUAUUAUCCCUAACACUCAGAGCCGCUACUCCAAGUAACAGAAAUUCUGACCUUCUGAUCCGGUAUUACCGAUCAACGAACCGAGUUACCCCAGGGAUAACAGCGCAAUCCCCUCUAAGAGCCCUUAUCGACGAGGGGGUUUACGACCUCGAUGUUGGAUCAGGACAUCCUAAUUGCGCAGCCGCUAUUAAGGGUUCGUUUGUUCAACGAUUAAAGUCCUACGUGAU
Molecule: ribosomal RNA, 573 nt
Filed under: Melanonus zugmayeri (arrowtail)
Lineage: Eukaryota; Metazoa; Chordata; Actinopteri; Gadiformes; Melanonidae
Description: partial large subunit ribosomal RNA
Rfam family: Bacterial large subunit ribosomal RNA
Source: RNAcentral